GUAGUUAACAGAGCAUCAAGAGUUUUACAGGCCGUCGAAUUUUUCUUCUUACUGAUGACUACGCCACUGCUUUUUCUUAUUUAACUCCUAUGUUUAUUUGUAUCCGCCCAGUGCCUUUUGCUCUGGGCUUUUUUUU
This 136-nucleotide antisense RNA is filed under the name Vibrio aestuarianus. RNAcentral's name for it is "VrrA". It matches the Rfam family "Vibrio regulatory RNA of OmpA". Lineage: Bacteria; Pseudomonadati; Pseudomonadota; Gammaproteobacteria; Vibrionales; Vibrionaceae. RNAcentral also lists the same sequence under 1 other name. The record is from RNAcentral.